This 786-nucleotide ribosomal RNA is filed under the name Triticum aestivum (bread wheat). RNAcentral's name for it is "partial small subunit ribosomal RNA". The record is from RNAcentral. Lineage: Eukaryota; Viridiplantae; Streptophyta; Magnoliopsida; Poales; Poaceae.
CCUAGUGUUCCUUGGGAGGAUAUAUCUAUGGACUUUGUUUUAGGGUUACCUCGAACAAAGAAGGGGAGGGAUAGCAUAUUUGUUGUCGUGGAUAGGUUCUCGAAAAUGGCACACUUUAUACCAUGUCAUAAAAGCGAUGAUGCUGUUAAUGUUGCUGAUUUGUUCUUUUGUGAAAUUAUUCGCUUACAUGGUGUGCCAAAUACUAUUGUUUCAGAUCGUGAUACUAAAUUUCUUAGCCACUUUUGGAGAUGUUUAUGGGCUAAGUUGGGGACUAAGCUGCUUUUUAGUACUACUUGUCACCCCCAAACUUAUGGACAAACUGAGGUAGUCAAUAGAACAUUGUCUACUAUGCUUAGGGCUAUUUUGAAGAAUAACAAGAAAAUGUGGGAAGAAUGCUUGCCUCAUAUUGAAUUUGCUUAUAAUCAUUCAUUGCAUUCUACAAAUAAGAUGUGCCCUUUUGAAAUUGUGUAUGGUUUCCUACCUCGUGCACCUAUUGAUUUGUUGCCUCUUCCAUCUUCAGAGAAGGUUAAUUUUGAUGCUAAAGAACGUUCUGAAUUGAUUUUAAAAAUGCAUGAGUUAACUAAGGAAAACAUUGAGCGUAUGAAUGCUAAAUAUAAACUUGCUGGAGAUAAGGGUAGAAAACAUGUUGUGUUUGCGCCUGGAGAUCUUGUUUGGUUACAUUUGCGUAAAGAUAGAUUUCCUAAUCUGCGCAAAUCAAUGCUAAUGCCACGUGCUGAUGGUCCUUUUAAGGUGUUAGAGAAAAUAAAUGAUAAUCCAUAUAAACUU